AGAGUUUGAUCCUGGCUCAGAACGAACGUUAGCGGCGCGCCUAACACAUGCAAGUCGCACGAGAAAGGGCUUCGGCCCCGGUAAAGUGGCGCACGGGUGAGUAACACGUGGGUAAUCUGCCCUCGAGCGGGGGAUAACGGUCCGAAAGGACCGCUAAUACCGCAUAAGACCACGACUUCGAAAGAGGAUGCGGUCAAAGCUGGCCUCUAUUCAUAAGCUAGCACUUGAGGAUGAGCCCGCGGCGCAUCAGGUAGUUGGUGAGGUAAUGGCUCACCAAGCCUAAGACGCGUAGCUGGUCUGAGAGGAUGAUCAGCCACACUGGAACUGAGACACGGUCCAGACUCCUACGGGAGGCAGCAGUGGGGAAUCUUGCGCAAUGGGCGAAAGCCUGACGCAGCGACGCCGCGUGAGUGAUGAAGGCCUUCGGGUUGUAAAGCUCUGUGGAGGGGGACGAAUAAGGGUUGGCUAACAUCCAGCUCGAUGACGGUACCCCUUUAGCAAGCACCGGCUAACUCUGUGCCAGCAGCCGCGGUAAUUC
Molecule: ribosomal RNA, 538 nt
Filed under: uncultured bacterium
Lineage: Bacteria
Description: bacterial SSU rRNA
Rfam family: Bacterial small subunit ribosomal RNA
Source: RNAcentral